Molecule: ribosomal RNA, 499 nt
Filed under: uncultured bacterium
Lineage: Bacteria
Description: bacterial SSU rRNA
Rfam family: Bacterial small subunit ribosomal RNA
Source: RNAcentral
GAUGAACGCUAGCUACAGGCUUAACACAUGCAAGUCGAGGGGAAACGAUAGAGAAAGCUUGCUUUUUCUAGGCGUCGACCGGCGCACGGGUGAGUAACGCGUAUCCAACCUGCCCAUCACUUGGGGAUAACCUUGCGAAAGUAAGACUAAUACCCAAUGACGUCUCUAGAAGACAUCUGAAGGAGAUUAAAGAUUUAUCGGUGAUGGAUGGGGAUGCGUCUGAUUAGCUUGUUGCGGGGUAACGGCCCACCAAGGCGACGAUCAGUAGGGGUUCUGAGNGGAAGGUCCCCCACAUUGGAACUGAGACACGGUCCAAACUCCUACGGGAGGCAGCAGUGAGGAAUAUUGGUCAAUGGACGAGAGUCUGAACCAGCCAAGUAGCGUGCAGGAAGACGGCCCCUAUGGGUUGUAAACUGCUUUUAUAAGGGAAUAAAGUGAGUCUCGUGAGACUUUUUGCAUGUACCUUAUGAAUAAGGACCGGCUAAUUCCGUGCCAGCAG